GGGGAUGUAAAGGUUUCGACGGGGGUACCGAACCGGUAUAAGCGGGCAGUGGCGCCGAUCCACUAUAAUAGCGGCCGUUAAAGAUAAACGACAAAACUAACAACACAUUCGCAAUGGCAGCAUAGCGUCUGCCGCGAUGUCAGCCCGGGCUCACCUGCAGGCCCGGAAUCUGGCAUGGACAUGCAGGAAACCAUGCGCGUGACUCCCGUAGCGCGCAUGGACUAGCGGGAUAGCGAAGCGCGCAGUCUGCUGACCGUCCGCGCGCCGAGCGAAGCUUCAAACGAUGAGCUGCGCCCGGAGAAAAUACCGCAGACGUAUUUUCGGACAGGGGUUCGACUCCCCUCAUCUCCACCA
RNAcentral lists this transfer-messenger RNA (354 nucleotides) under bovine gut metagenome. It matches the Rfam family "transfer-messenger RNA". Rfam says of the family: Bacterial tmRNA, also known as 10Sa RNA or SsrA, is named for its dual tRNA and mRNA-like properties. Its role is to liberate the mRNA from a stalled ribosome. The record is from RNAcentral.